CCUACGGGGGGCUGCAGUGGGGAAUAUUGCACAAUGGGGGAAACCCUGAUGCAGCAACGCCGCGUGAGUGAUGACGGCCUUCGGGUUGUAAAGCUCUGUUUUCAGGGACGAUAAUGACGGUACGUGUGGAGGAAUCCACGGCGAACUACGUCCCAGCAGCCGCGGUACUACGUAGGUGGCCAGCGUUGUCCGGAUUUACUGGGCGUAAAGGGGGCGUAGGCGGGCUUUUAAGUCAGAUGUGAAAUAGUCGGGCUCAACUUGAGUGCUGCAUUUCAAACUGUAAGUCUAGAGUUCAGGAGAGGAGAAUGGAAUUCCUAGUGUAGCGGUGAAAUGCGUAGAGAUUAGGAAGAACACCAGUGGCGAAGGCGAUUCUCUGGACUGUAACUGACGCUGAGGCUCGAAAGCGUGGGGAGCAAACAGGAUUAGAUACCCCUGUAGUC
Molecule: ribosomal RNA, 440 nt
Filed under: uncultured bacterium
Lineage: Bacteria
Description: partial 16S ribosomal RNA
Rfam family: Bacterial small subunit ribosomal RNA
Source: RNAcentral